GAUGAACGCUGGCGGCGUGCCUAAUACAUGCAAGUCGAGCGAACAGACGAGGAGCUUGCUCCUCUGACGUUAGCGGCGGACGGGUGAGUAACACGUGGAUAACCUACCUAUAAGACUGGGAUAACUUCGGGAAACCGGAGCUAAUACCGGAUAAUAUAUUGAACCGCAUGGUUCAAUAGUGAAAGACGGUUUUGCUGUCACUUAUAGAUGGAUCCGCGCCGCAUUAGCUAGUUGGUAAGGUAACGGCUUACCAAGGCAACGAUGCGUAGCCGACCUGAGAGGGUGAUCGGCCACACUGGAACUGAGACACGGUCCAGACUCCUACGGGAGGCAGCAGUAGGGAAUCUUCCGCAAUGGGCGAAAGCCUGACGGAGCAAAGCCGCGUGAGUGAUGAAGGUCUUAGGAUCGUAAAACUCUGUUAGUAGGGAAGAACAAAUGUGUAAGUAACUAUGCACGUCUUGACGGUACCUAAUCAGAAAGCCACGGCUAACUACGUG
RNAcentral lists this ribosomal RNA (497 nucleotides) under uncultured bacterium. Its description in RNAcentral is "partial 16S ribosomal RNA". It matches the Rfam family "Bacterial small subunit ribosomal RNA", at positions 28 to 507 of the family's 1533-position model. The record is from RNAcentral.